Molecule: ribosomal RNA, 119 nt
Filed under: Labeo rohita (rohu)
Lineage: Eukaryota; Metazoa; Chordata; Actinopteri; Cypriniformes; Cyprinidae
Source: RNAcentral
GCUUACGGCCAUACCACCCUGAGCGCGCCCGAUCUCGUCUGAUCUCGGAAGCUUAGCAGGGUCGGGCCUGGUUAGUACUUGGAUGGGAGACCGCCUGGGAAUACCAGGUGCUGUAAGCU